GAAAGGGCUAACGAGUAGAUCCCUCUAUCAACUCUACUAAAUAAAAUUUUCACGUAAGUUAAAAGACUAACACAAAAUAAAGUGACGACAAGACCCUGACAAACUUAACAUCACGUUUAGCUGGGGCAGCUAAUAAAUUACACCUUAAUCCCAUAGCCCAAUAAGCCUAAAACAAGAAAAUAAAAGUUACUGCAGGGAUAACAGCAUAACAUAAUUUAAAAGCUCACAUUAAAAAUUAUAACUAUGACCUCGAUGUUGAAUAAUCUCCCAUAAUAAAGCAAAACUUAUUACCGUGUGUCUGUUCGACACUUAAAAGAUUACA
RNAcentral lists this ribosomal RNA (322 nucleotides) under cf. Lamania sp. Johor MR357. RNAcentral's name for it is "partial 16S ribosomal RNA". The stretch from base 84 to 322 matches the Rfam family "Bacterial large subunit ribosomal RNA", at positions 2079 to 2600 of the family's 2925-position model. The record is from RNAcentral. Lineage: Eukaryota; Metazoa; Arthropoda; Arachnida; Araneae; Tetrablemmidae.